Molecule: ribosomal RNA, 591 nt
Filed under: Escherichia coli
Lineage: Bacteria; Pseudomonadati; Pseudomonadota; Gammaproteobacteria; Enterobacterales; Enterobacteriaceae
Description: partial 23S ribosomal RNA
Rfam family: Bacterial large subunit ribosomal RNA
Source: RNAcentral
UCGGACAUCAGGAGGUUAGUGCAAUGGCAUAAGCCAGCUUGACUGCGAGCGUGACGGCGCGAGCAGGUGCGAAAGCAGGUCAUAGUGAUCCGGUGGUUCUGAAUGGAAGGGCCAUCGCUCAACGGAUAAAAGGUACUCCGGGGAUAACAGGCUGAUACCGCCCAAGAGUUCAUAUCGACGGCGGUGUUUGGCACCUCGAUGUCGGCUCAUCACAUCCUGGGGCUGAAGUAGGUCCCAAGGGUAUGGCUGUUCGCCAUUUAAAGUGGUACGCGAGCUGGGUUUAGAACGUCGUGAGACAGUUCGGUCCCUAUCUGCCGUGGGCGCUGGAGAACUGAGGGGGGCUGCUCCUAGUACGAGAGGACCGGAGUGGACGCAUCACUGGUGUUCGGGUUGUCAUGCCAAUGGCACUGCCCGGUAGCUAAAUGCGGAAGAGAUAAGUGCUGAAAGCAUCUAAGCACGAAACUUGCCCCGAGAUGAGUUCUCCCUGACUCCUUGAGAGUCCUGAAGGAACGUUGAAGACGACGACGUUGAUAGGCCGGGUGUGUAAGCGCAGCGAUGCGUUGAGCUAACCGGUACUAAUGAACCGUGAGG